AAUCUUGUGCAAUGGGCGAAAGUCUGACGCAGCCAUGCCGCGUGAAUGAUGAAGCUCUCAGGAUUGUAAACUUCUUUCACUGGGGACGAUAAUGACGGUACCCGGAGAAGAAGACCCGGCUAACUUCGUGCCAGCAGCCGCGGUAAUACGAAGGGGGCUAGCGUUGCUCGGAAUUAUUGGGCGUAAAGGGCGCGUAGGCGGACAUUUAAGUCAGGGGUGAAAUCCCAGAGCUCAACUCUGGAACUGCCUUUGAUACUGGGUGUCUUGAGUGUGAGAGAGGUGUGUGGAACUCCGGGUGUAGAGGUGAAAUUCGUAGAUAUUCGGAAGAACACCAGUGGCGAAGGCGACAUACUGGCUCAUUACUGACGCUGAGGCGCGAAAGCGUGGGGAGCAAACA
RNAcentral lists this ribosomal RNA (397 nucleotides) under uncultured bacterium. Its description in RNAcentral is "partial 16S ribosomal RNA". It matches the Rfam family "Bacterial small subunit ribosomal RNA", at positions 360 to 774 of the family's 1533-position model. The record is from RNAcentral.